This 1670-nucleotide ribosomal RNA is filed under the name candidate division CPR2 bacterium GW2011_GWC2_39_10. RNAcentral describes it as "bacterial LSU rRNA". It matches the Rfam family "Bacterial large subunit ribosomal RNA", at positions 1 to 1706 of the family's 2925-position model. The record is from RNAcentral. Lineage: Bacteria; candidate division CPR2.
AGUCAAGUAAGGGCACAAGGUGGAUGACUUGGCGUAAGAGGCCGAAGAAGGACGUAGUAGCCUGCGAUAAGCGUCGGUGAGCUGGCAAACAAGCUCUGACCCGGCGAUUUCCGAAUGGGGAAACCCAACGAGAGUCAUGUCUCGUUACUCCUAUCUGAAUAUAUAGGAUAGGUAGAGGGCACCUGGGGAACUGAAACAUCUAAGUACCCAGAGGAAUAGACAUCAACCGAGAUUCCGUUAGUAGCGGCGAGCGAACGCGGAUCAGCCUAAACCUUUUUAAUGUUAAAGCUUACAGGCGUUGUUAAAAGGGUGUUGUGAGGUAAUUGUCCAUUCUUUGUAGUUAGUUAAGCAGUUAAAAAGAAGAAAUUUAAUGGAAGGAAUCUGGAAAGAACCGCCAUAGAGGGUGAUAGCCCCGUACAUGAAAAAUUUCUUGGCCUUAUACGAUUAUACUCAAGUACCACGGGACACGAGGAAUCCUGUGGGAAUCUGGGAGGACCACCUUCCAAGGCUAAAUACCUCUUAUGACCGAUAGUGAACAAGUACCGUGAGGGAAAGUUGAAAAGAACCCCUGUUAGGGGAGUGAAAUAGAACCUGAAACCAUGUGCCUACAAAGAGUCGGAGCAUCUGAAUAGCGGAUGUGACGGCGUGCUUUUUGCAGAACGAACCAACGAGUUAAUGGCUGUUGCAAGGUUAAGUUGUUAUACAACAUAGCCGAAGUGAAAGCGAGCCCUAAUAGGGCGAUUUAAGUAGCAGUCAUUAGACCCGAAACCGGGCGACCUAACCAUGGGCAGGCUGAAGCGGCGGUAAGACGUCGUGGAGGGCCGAACCCACGUCAGUUACAAAUGGCGGGGAUGACCUGUGGUUAGCGGAGAAUGUAAAUUACCUUCCGGGGGUAGAGCACUGAAUCGGUUUGGGGCCUUUAAAGGUACCCAGCCGAAAUAAACUCCGAAUACCGGAAGCAAUUAUUGCAGGAGUCAGAAUGUGGGGGCUAAGCUCCAUGUUCAAAAGGGAAACAACCCAGAUCGCCAGCUAAGGUCCCUAAAUCUAUACUAAGUGGAAAACGAUGUGAAGUCGCACAGACAACCAGGAUGUUGGCUUAGAAGCAGCCAUCAUUUAAAAAGUGCGUAAUAGCUUACUGGUCAAUUGUGAUUUCGCGCGGAAAAUAUAACGGGGCUUAAGUAUAGUACCGAAGCUGCGGAUUUCGACGGAGUGGUAGGAGAGCGUUCCUGUCUGGUGUGAAGCUAGAUCGUAAGGUCUGGUGGACUGGCAGGAAGUGAGAAUGUUGGUAUGAGUAGCUAUAAAGGACGUGAAAACCGUCCUCACCGUAAGUCCAAGGUUUCCAGGGCAACGUCGAUCGACCCUGGGUUAGUCGGGCCUAAGCCGAGGCAAGUAGCGUAGGCGAUGGACAGCAGGUUGAUAUUCCUGCACCGGUGUUAUUGUUCCUUAAGCUGACGCUGGAUGGUAGUCAGAGCGCACUUUUGGCUAUGUGCGUCCAAGUGUCUAGUCCCUUCGGGGGUGAAGCACGAGUGAAAGCCUGGGUAAAUCCGGGUGAUUCUGGUGAGCCAAACAGACAAGAAAAGGCUUAAAUUAAUAGAUAACGCCGACCGUACCGCAAACCGACACAGGUAGACGGGUAGAGUAUACCAAGGUGUUUCGGGAGAACCCUCUUU